Molecule: ribosomal RNA, 206 nt
Filed under: uncultured bacterium
Lineage: Bacteria
Description: partial 16S ribosomal RNA
Rfam family: Bacterial small subunit ribosomal RNA
Source: RNAcentral
UACGUAGGCGGUCUGUUAAGUCAGAUGUGAAAGCCCCGGGCUUAACCUGGGAACUGCAUUUGAUACUGGCAGACUAGAGUAUGGUAGAGGGGGUAGAAUUCCUAGUGUAGCGGUGAAAUGCGUAGAUAUUAGGAGGAAUACCAGUGGCGAAGGCGGCCCCCUGGGCCAAUACUGACGCUGAGGUACGAAAGCGUGGGUAGCGAACA